This is a long non-coding RNA of Thamnophis elegans (Western terrestrial garter snake), 906 nucleotides long. RefSeq lists it as uncharacterized. NCBI's taxonomy places the organism in Eukaryota, Metazoa, Chordata, Lepidosauria, Squamata, Natricidae. The transcript is spliced from 2 exons. The record is from RefSeq and is a predicted model, not a curated record.
UGUCCAGUCUGUUCUUAAAAAUCUCCAGUGAUGGAUCACCCACAAUGUCUAAAGGCAAGUUCAGUUCAAUUCAGAAGGCAAGUUUAAAUUUCACAUGGGGAUAGCAGUUUGAUCUCAUACAAUAUCUACUCUAUCGUCCUUAUGUUUGGAGAUUUGGUCUUUUUUCAGUAAAGUUUUAGGUUAACUGCUCAUUUUUUCCUUCUCUGGAUAAUACUUUUUUUUAACUUGCUAGUGUAAAUCCUUUCAUAAAAGGCUAGGACACUCUAGCCUGGAUAAGCAUGGACUGAAUCAUUUCCUUUUCUUUUUUUAUAUACACAUACUUUUCAGAGUAUAAGACACACUUCUUUCCCCCUAAAGAGGGUGAAAAUUUGGGUGCAUCUUAUCCAUCAGCCAUACCUGGGGGGAGGGAGUUGGUACGGUGGCGGCAACUGCAAUAAGCAGCUAAUUGUUGAUAUUCUUGGAGGCUGAUCCAAAUGGCAAUCGGUGAGGUGGGAUUCAAACCAUUUGUUAAAUUGAGGAGAAUAGACUGCCACCGCAUCACACCACCACUGGGCCUGCUGCCCCAUCGCCAUCACCUGCUGCACCGCCGCUGAGCCUGCCAUAUCGCCACUAUCUGCCGCUCCGCCACUGGGCCUGCUACCCUACUACUGAGUCUGCCAUCCUGCUGUCACAUCGCCACUGGCCUGCUGCCCCACCGCCGCCCCAUCGCCCCACCACUGCUGCACAGCUGCUGAACCUAUCGCCCAUCACAUCGACGCUGGGUCUGCUGCCCCAUCACCACCUGCCAUCCUGUUGCACUGCCAGGCCUGCCGCAUCUCCUGGACUGCAUGGACUGUGAGCCAGAGACACAGAGAGAGGAAAAUGUUGUGGUUCCUCCUGACGCUACAUACCAGUACAAGAAUGUCA